AUUGAACGCUGGCGGCAUGCCUUACACAUGCAAGUCGAACGGCAGCACGGGUGCUUGCACCUGGUGGCGAGUGGCGAACGGGUGAGUAAUACAUCGGCACAUGUCCUGUAGUGGGGGAUAGCCCGGCGAAAGCCGGAUUAAUACCGCAUACGAUCUACGGAUGAAAGCGGGGGGCCUUCGGGCCUCGCGCUAUCGGGUUGGCCGAUGGCUGAUUAGCUAGUUGGUGGGGUAAAGGCCUACCAAGGCGACGAUCAGUAGCUGGUCUGAGAGGACGACCAGCCACACUGGGACUGAGACACGGCCCAGACUCCUACGGGAGGCAGCAGUGGGGAAUUUUGGACAAUGGGCGAAAGCCUGAUCCAGCAAUGCCGCGUGUGUGAAGAAGGCCUUCGGGUUGUAAAGCACUUUUGUCCGGAAAGAAAUCCUUGGCCCUAAUACGGUCGGGGGAUGACGGUACCGGAAGAAUAAGCACCGGCUAACUACGUG
RNAcentral lists this ribosomal RNA (486 nucleotides) under uncultured bacterium. RNAcentral describes it as "partial 16S ribosomal RNA". It matches the Rfam family "Bacterial small subunit ribosomal RNA", at positions 30 to 507 of the family's 1533-position model. The record is from RNAcentral.